UGCCAGCCGCCGCGGUAAUACGAAGGGGGCUAGCGUUGUUCGGAAUCACUGGGCGUAAAGCGUAUGUAGGCGGAUUGGAAAGUUGGGGGUGAAAUCCCGGGGCUCAACCCCGGAACUGCCUCCAAAACUAUCAGUCUAGAGUUCGAGAGAGGUGAGUGGAAUUCCAAGUGUAGAGGUGAAAUUCGUAGAUAUUAGAAAGAAUACCAAUUGCGGAGGCAGCUUUCUGGAUCAUUACUGACGCUGAGGAACGAAAGCAUGGGUAGCGAAGAGGAUUAGAUA
RNAcentral lists this ribosomal RNA (279 nucleotides) under uncultured bacterium. RNAcentral's name for it is "partial 16S ribosomal RNA". It matches the Rfam family "Bacterial small subunit ribosomal RNA", at positions 506 to 784 of the family's 1533-position model. The record is from RNAcentral.